Molecule: ribosomal RNA, 776 nt
Filed under: uncultured Neocallimastigales
Lineage: Eukaryota; Fungi; Neocallimastigomycota; Neocallimastigomycetes; Neocallimastigales
Description: partial large subunit ribosomal RNA
Rfam family: Eukaryotic large subunit ribosomal RNA
Source: RNAcentral
GUAUGUGAUCGUCUCUCGCAUAUCAAUAAGCGGAGGAAAAGAAACUAACAAGGAUUCCCCUAGUAACGGCGAGUGAAGCGGGAAGAGCUCAAAUUUGAAAUCUGAAAGGGUUUCCCUUUACGAAUUGUAGUUUAAAGAAGUGUUUUCUGUUGAGGUUUUGGUAAAAGUUCUUUGGAAUAGGACAUCAUAGAGGGUGAGAAUCCCGUAUUUGACCUUUACUUUCAACUUUGUGAUACACUUUCAAAGAGUCGGAUUGUUCGGGAAUGCAGUCCAAAAUGGGUGGUAAAUUUCAUCUAAAGCUAAAUAUUGGCGAGAGACCGAUAGCGAACAAGUACCGUGAGGGAAAGAUGAAAAGAACUUUGAAAAGAGAGUUAAACAGUACGUGAAAUUGUCAAAAGGGAAGCGUUUGACACCAGUGUUGUUUUUCUGAAAAUCAAUUAAAGAACUGUUUAUGCUAAGCUGUUUAGACUUUAUCAGCUAAUCUGUUUAGUUUUGAGCUUUUCUUUAAUGCACUUUUCAGUUAACAAGUCAACAUCAAUUUCUUUUGCUGUAAAAAAGCUUGAGGAAGGUGGCUUGAGAUUCGUCUUAAGUGUUUAUAGCCUCUUGCCUAUGCAGUCGGAGAGAUUGAGGUCUGCAGCGUAGAUCCUUCGGGGCUAAAUGCAUUUGUGCUAAGUUAUAGCAUUUUAUAGACAACUUGUUGACUAUGAUUUGUCUUGUAGCUUACUCGCUUAUGUUAUUUUACCUACGCUUAGGAUGUUGAUAUCGCGCUCUCACUG